GGCUGCAGAAGAUGCGGAGAGCUUGGACGGAGUCCGCAGGGUCUGCUGCGUGCAUGUGCUGUCGGGUGUUUCCCUUUCUUCGCUCGUUUUUGAUUCCGGUCCCAAGAACCGCUUGAUUUCUAGUCUUUUUGGCUGCGGGUAUCCCGCCAGGGCUCUCGCUCUCUCCGCACAUGUUCCUAGGGCGCCAUCUCUUUGCAAAAAGCCUCCGUCCUCUCGCAGGUCUCCCAGAGGCUGCUCCGGGGCGUGUGAACAUCGCAGGCUGCAGCGCGAUUCAACCUGCGGAGCCCAGCAUGCGUCCCAGCCCCCCGCGCGUCCCCGGGCCACCGCUCCUGGUAGAGGAGCUCUCGGGCUCCGCAGCCGGGCAGCGCUUUUUGCUCGAGGUCACUUGCCCUGGCUCAGCGUGGCCCCAGCUUUCCGGGAGGAAAGGACGUGAACCUAACUUUUGCAGAGGUUUUAGGACCCGGAAGAUACAAUGUUCACUAAACUCUUCCAGCAGUGGAGUUUCGCAGUGUUCCUGCUGAGUUACUCCGUGCCCUCCUGCGGGAGAUCAGUGGAGGGGAUCAGCCGCCGACCAAACGGGCUGUAUCAGAGCACCAGCUACUGCAUGACAAGGGCAAGUCAAUCCAAGAUCUACGAAGAAGAAUAUUCCUUCAAAAUUUAAUUGAAGGUGUCAACACUGCAGAAAUCCGUGCAACGUCAGAAGUUUCACCUAACCCUAAGCCCGCUACAAACACGAAGAACUACCCUGUCCGAUUUGGCAGUGAAGAUGAGGGCAGAUACCUAACUCAGGAGACAAACAAAUCACAGACCUACAAGGAACAACCCCUGAAGGUAUCGGGCAAGAAAAAGAAAGCAAAGCCUGGAAAACGUAAGGAACAAGAGAAGAAAAAGAGGCGAGCCCGCUCCGCUUGGCUAAAUUCUGACAUGUAUGGAAGCAGCAUGACCGAUAGCCCGCUCUUGGACAACUCUGUUACUACACAUAAUCAUAUUUUAAGGAGGCGCUGAUAUUUUCAGCAAGACAUCUUUGGAAGACGUAUUGCAGUAUUCUGUAAUAGUGAACAUAUGGGAACUAUUAAAAUAUUUAUUACCUGUAAAUAUUGUAAAUGCUCAGAAUAAAACUUUUUUCCCCCAUUGCUCUCUGAAACUGCACAUUUGGUUAUUGUGAUUUUUUUUUUUUUUUUUUGGCUAAUACUAAGACAAUUAUUAUGUCACAUUUACCAUAAUUUAUUUUGUUGACUGGUGUAUUUAUUUGUGAACGUAUCUUGGUGCUGCUGACUUUCUAUAUUUUUUGUAACAUAAUGCACUUUAGAUAUACAUAUCGAGUACAUUGAUAACUGACAUAAAAUGUUCGUGUUUUGUGGUUGACUUCAAUGAAUGCCUAUACACAAUUGUUCAAACUGAUUUUCCUUUGUGCAUGUAUAAUAGCAGUAUUUUAAAAUUUGUAAAGAAUGUCUAAUAAAAUAUAAUCUAA
Molecule: RNA transcript, 1471 nt
Organism: Cygnus olor (mute swan)
Lineage: Eukaryota; Metazoa; Chordata; Aves; Anseriformes; Anatidae
Gene: PTHLH
Gene name: parathyroid hormone like hormone
Exons: 4
Source: RefSeq, a predicted model, not a curated record